Molecule: ribosomal RNA, 445 nt
Filed under: uncultured bacterium
Lineage: Bacteria
Description: partial 16S ribosomal RNA
Rfam family: Bacterial small subunit ribosomal RNA
Source: RNAcentral
GUGAGGAAUAUUGGUCAAUGGGCGGGAGCCUGAACCAGCCAAGUCGCGUGAAGGAAGAAGGAUCUAUGGUUCGUAAACUUCUUUUGCAGGGGAAUAAAGUGCAGGACGUGUCCUGUUUUGUAUGUACCCAGAGAAUAAGGAUCGGCUAACUCCGUGCCAGCAGCCGCGGUAAUACGGAGGAUCCAAGCGUUAUCCGGAUUUAUUGGGUUUAAAGGGUGCGCAGGCGGGUUGAUAAGUCAGCGGUGAAAGUUUGCAGCUUAACUGUAAAAUUGCCGUUGAAACUGUCGAUCUUGAGUGCAAAUGAGGUAAGCGGAAUGUGUUGUGUAGCGGUGAAAUGCUUAGAUAUAACACAGAACACCGAUUGCGAAGGCAGCUUACUGGGAUGCAACUGACGCUCAUGCACGAAAGCGUGGGGAUCAAACAGGAUUAGAAACCCCUGUAGUCC